This 329-nucleotide long non-coding RNA is filed under the name Carica papaya (papaya). Its description in RNAcentral is "long non-coding RNA (CPAP_LNC004764)". The record is from RNAcentral. Lineage: Eukaryota; Viridiplantae; Streptophyta; Magnoliopsida; Brassicales; Caricaceae.
CAUCAAGCAGGGGGAAGAGAGAAAUUAAAGAACGAAGAGUUGUACUAGUACAAGGGAUAUGAAAUAUUAAGGAGAAGAUUAAUCUGAAGAAAAUCAUAAUGCAAAGUAAUCCAAAUCCAUGUAUGCAUGCAACUCGAUGACUACGACUAUGAUGAUGACAACUACGACAAUUAUGAUGACUAUAACUAUUAAGACGACGAUUACAAUGACUAAGAAACUAACAACAUAUAUUUAUUGUGGAAUUUAAUUGCUUAUUUAAAGUACAUCUCCAACAACACUCCAAAAAAUUCAAAAUUAAAUAUCAUAAUACUUGAUUCCUAAGGGUAGUU